This is a regulatory RNA element of Gammaproteobacteria bacterium SCGC AG-212-F23, 152 nucleotides long. The record is from Rfam. NCBI's taxonomy places the organism in Bacteria, Pseudomonadati, Pseudomonadota, Gammaproteobacteria.
UGAUUGUGAAGGCGGCGGUGGGUAGGUGUGUUUGGAGUGCGAUUGGGAAAGCCGACAGGAUGUCGGCUUUAGGGAAAACAGGCCAGGGACUGGCCUUUUUUCCCGACCAAUCGUACGGAGAACACACCUACCCACUGGCGACUUUGCAAUUA